AAGGAGUGCUCCUCGCCAUCUACUUCCUUUAGAUCUCCGGAAGCUGCCUCUCUCCCUCGAUUCUCGCCUCUUCCGAUCCCCUCGCCGGGUUUGUCUCUUCAGGAGGUGGAGUUUGGGUGGUGGAGGAGUGGGUUUUGGGAUGGACGGAGGGAGGGCCACCGCGGAUGCCACCUCCGGGCGGAUGGUCUUUGAGCCCAUACUUGAAGAGGGGGUUUUCCGGUUCGAUUGCUCGGGGAAUGACAGAGAUGCGGCGUUUCCGAGCAUUUCUUUUGUUGAUCCUAAGGCAAGGGAGACGCCGAUCAUGGUUCAUAAGGUGCCGGAGUAUAUCCCUAUGUUUCAACGUAUUUAUGGACAACAGAUCGUCAAGAUUCAGCUUCCUUCUGGAUCAUCCUUUUAUGGAACUGGAGAAGUAAGUGGGCAGCUUGAGCGGACAGGCAAGCGGAUACAUGGGGGACCACAUCCCUGUAUCAGUCACAUCCUUGGGUUCUAGCUCUUCUACCAGAUGGAAAGGCAUUGGGUGUUCUUGCUGACACAACUUGGCGUUGUGAGGUUGACUUACGGGAAGAUUUCACGAUAAAGUUUGUGGCAAUGGGUGUUUACCCUGUAAUCACAUUUGGCCCAUUUGAGACACCUACUGAUGUCUUGAUGUCACUGUCUCAUGCAAUUGGUUAUUUUCUUAAAACCAUUUCCACUGUUCUAGAUAUCAUUUAAAACACUUUAAUCUAUUUCAUAGAUUUGAAUUUAUAUGCUGUCUCUAUUUGCAUUUCUUGCAUACUUAGAUUACUACUUAUCCAAUUAAAUUUUUUAUGACAGGAAAAAUUCGAAUCCAGCAGGACAUUUUUCGUGCUUAUUAUUCAUGUAUAUAUAUUUUUUUAAAGGCCAAAUGAAGAUUACUUUGUUGAAUUAAAUUAGUGAUUGAUUGCUUUUCAGUACGUGUUUUAAAUAGCAUCUUUGAUAACGUCUAGGUCAUAGAGCUAAAUGCUUAAGAAAGUUGAUUAGCGAACUUGCUGGUGAACAGAACAGUGCAAUAUUAUUAGUCUAAUUGUCCAAUUAGAAAUGUAACACCACAAGUAGGUUCCUCACACAAACCAGGGUGGCCCUAACUGAACUUUUUCAGAUGAUCAACUUGAAAUUGAAAAUUGGAACUAAUGAUCUCCUGUCAUGUGGUGAAGACUGUGUAGAGGGAAUGUUGACAACAAUACCUAGCCCACAAUAGAUAAUAAUAAUUAAUGGAAGGAUCUAGCAGCAUGUCACCAAAUUCAGUAACGUGUUAAUGGGAGGCCAAUAUCUGGAUUCAAUGAAACUACAUGAUUUUGUAUUGAAUUCCACAUCAGUGCAAUGGUUCACUGCAAGAACAAUAACUUAAUGUAAAAAGUUCAAUUUGGCCGUGGCCUCUCUCUUAUGGCAUUUACUGAACAUACAUACCACCAAUAUAUUUACGCUGGGAGACUUUGGUAAACAAACAACAAAAUAUUCUAUUUUUCUUAUCAAUUGUUUCUGAAAGUACCCAAAUUAUACUGGCAGUUUUAUGCAAAAUUAAGUCUUUUGUAUAUGAUGUCACUUGCAUUGUCCUCUCGAUUCUUAUCUGUUCUAUUAUAUAAUGUGAACUCCCAAGUGCUCUGUUCAUGAAGCACCUUGCUUCUGUGGCUUGAUGUACAUGCAUUGUACAUACCAUCCUUCAGUAGUUUCUACAUUAUAACAUUCAACUAUAACAUAUGUAAGUAUCUGAAAUAGGAGUUAUUAUAAAAACCGAACUUUGUCAAAUCAUAUAAAACUUGGUAAUUUGCUCAUGAUAGUUGAAAUUUCUCUUGUGAUCUAUAUUGGUUUUACCAUUACAAUUUGGUUUCCAUAUCUAUUCUUCUCCAUUAAAAUUUUAGGAACCAUUUUUAUGCCUCCCAAAUGGUCACUUGGAUAUCAUCAAUGUCAUUGGAGCUAUGACUCUGCUGCAAAAGUUCUCAAGGUUGCCAGAACAUUUCGAGAGAAACACAUACCUUGUGAUGUCAUAUGGAUGGACAUUGACUUUAUGGAUGGCUUUCGAUGUUUUACAUUUGACAAAAUCAGGCUUAUGAUGUGGCAGAUAUGAAAAGAAUAAGGUGCUUGUAUCAUA
Non-coding RNA from Elaeis guineensis (African oil palm), 2107 nucleotides. NCBI's taxonomy places the organism in Eukaryota, Viridiplantae, Streptophyta, Magnoliopsida, Arecales, Arecaceae. The record is from RefSeq and is a predicted model, not a curated record.